RNAcentral lists this long non-coding RNA (226 nucleotides) under Mus caroli (Ryukyu mouse). Its description in RNAcentral is "RIKEN cDNA 1700010K24 gene (MGP_CAROLIEiJ_G0003427.1)". The record is from RNAcentral. Lineage: Eukaryota; Metazoa; Chordata; Mammalia; Rodentia; Muridae.
GGACUCGAGGCAACCGGUGAGAGUGAGCCUCGUCGUCGAGGAGUGAGCACGCCGCGCUUUGGACGGCUGAAGACUUGGCCUGAUAGCUGGGGUGUGGAAUCGUGACAUCUUCGAAGAACUGUUGCUGUAACACUUGGUAUAUUUGGAACUUAUAGCAUACACAAUCCACAAAGCAUAGGAUACUGUGAAGCAGAUUUUUGCUUUAGAAUAAAAAAAGCUGUGAUAC